RNAcentral lists this ribosomal RNA (237 nucleotides) under uncultured Staphylococcus sp. RNAcentral's name for it is "partial 16S ribosomal RNA". It matches the Rfam family "Bacterial small subunit ribosomal RNA", at positions 103 to 334 of the family's 1533-position model. The record is from RNAcentral. Lineage: Bacteria; Bacillati; Bacillota; Bacilli; Caryophanales; Staphylococcaceae.
CGGGUGAGUAACACGUGGAUAACCUACCUAUAAGACUGGGAUAACUUCGGGAAACCGGAGCUAAUACCGGAUAAUAUUUUGAACCGCAUGGUUCAAAAGUGAAAGACGGUCUUGCUGUCACUUAUAGAUGGAUCCGCGCCGCAUUAGCUAGUUGGUAAGGUAACGGCUUACCAAGGCAACGAUGCAUAGCCGACCUGAGAGGGUGAUCGGCCACACUGGAACUGAGACACGGUCCAG